Molecule: ribosomal RNA, 507 nt
Filed under: uncultured organism
Description: SSU rRNA
Rfam family: Bacterial small subunit ribosomal RNA
Source: RNAcentral
GCAGUUGCUCCCCUACGGGGAUCAACAGCAGGAGCCGCCCUGAACAGGGGGCGUCUCCGAGGAACAACCCUCAUGGUAAAGUUAAUCCAAGUAGGGGAGUGACUGCGUAGUGGCGGACGGGUGAGUAACGCGUGAGCAACCUGCCGUAUAGUGGGGGAUAACACAGGGAAACUUGUGCUAAUACCGCAUGACACACAGAGAUCGCAUGGUUUUUGUGUCAAAGAUUUAUUGCUAUAUGAUGGGCUCGCGUAUGAUUAGACAGUUGGCAGGGUAACGGCCUACCAAAUCAACGAUCAUUAGCCGAACUGAGAGGUUGAACGGCCACAUUGGAACUGAGAAACGGUCCAGACUCCUACGGGAGGCAGCAGUGGGGAAUAUUGGGCAAUGGGCGAAAGCCUGACCCAGCGACGCCGCGUGAGGGAAGAAGGUCUUCGGAUUGUAAACCUCUUUCAGCAGGGAAGAAGAGAUGACGGUACCUGCAGAAGAAGUCACGGCUAACUACGUGCC